Molecule: ribosomal RNA, 326 nt
Filed under: uncultured bacterium
Lineage: Bacteria
Description: bacterial SSU rRNA
Rfam family: Bacterial small subunit ribosomal RNA
Source: RNAcentral
GACGAACGCUGGCGGCGCGCCUAACACAUGCAAGUCGAACGGAGUGCCCUUGAUUGAGGACUCGUCCAAAUGAUAGGGUUACUUAGUGGCGGACGGGUGAGUAACGCGUGAGUAACCUGCCUAGGAGUGGGGAAUAACACAGAGAAAUCAUUGCUAAUACCGCAUAUGCCAUGAACAUCACAUGAUGAAAAUGGGAAAAGAGUAAUCUGCUAGUAGAUGGGCUCGCGUCUGAUUAGAUAGUUGGUGGGGUAACGGCCUACCAAGUCGACGAUCAGUAGCCGGACUGAGAGGUUGAACGGCCACAUUGGGACUGAGAUACGGCCCAG